Molecule: ribosomal RNA, 366 nt
Filed under: uncultured eukaryote
Lineage: Eukaryota
Description: SSU rRNA
Rfam family: Eukaryotic small subunit ribosomal RNA
Source: RNAcentral
AGCUCCAAUAGCGUAUAUUAAAGUUACCGCAGUUAAAAAGUUCGUAGUUGGGUUUCUAGCGAGGCACGAGAAUAUCCACCUAUGGUGAAUACUUCUCUCGCCUUGCUCUUCUUUAGUUGAUGUCUCUGGCAUUAAGUUGUCGGAGUCCUGAGACUAAUCGUUUACUGUGAUAAAAUUAGAGUGUUCAAAACAGGCUUAUGCCGUUGAAUAUAUUAGCAUGGAAUAUAAAGAUAGGACUUCGGUACUAUUUUGUUGGUUUGCGUACUGAUGUAAUGAUAAAUAGGGACUGGCGUGGGUAUUCGUAGUAAAAUUAUUAGAUUACUGGAAGACGAACGACUGUGAAAGCGUUUAACAAGGAUGUUUUCA